AAAUAGCCUUGCAAUACGAGUACGUUGCAUUUGCUGACUUUGGAAGGCUAAACGCCAGGUCUUUCAAAACGUUCGCUACUCUGCUAUGUGUUUUGCCACGCCCUCGCCUUCGCAAAGACAGGCACAAACUCUGUUAACUAUUACGAAAGAGCGAGCAUAGCAUAAUUAGCGCAAUUUUUACAGUUUUUUCUUUUUGUUUCUUUUAUUCUUUUGUGGAUGAUCUUCAUAUACUUGUAAUUUUUCUAUCGCAAAAAAGAAGAAGCUGCCGUCGAGUGCGCACGUGUUUGCAAAGUGAUUGUGAAAUAUGAAAACUUGGAAAAAUAUUACUUUACAUCGUGAGCCGUCAAAUAUAUGAUUUAUGUAUGUAAAAAUACGUAAAAAUGCGUGGUUCGACUUUAUAUUGAAAUUAUGGAUGCACACGCAAAACCAAGCCGACGCCUUUGGAAUAGAGAAAACCGAUACAAGACGAGACAACGCACU
This is a long non-coding RNA of Drosophila innubila, 480 nucleotides long. RefSeq lists it as uncharacterized. The transcript has 3 exons. Lineage: Eukaryota; Metazoa; Arthropoda; Insecta; Diptera; Drosophilidae. The record is from RefSeq and is a predicted model, not a curated record.